GGUUUAUCUGGGGGUGGGUAACACCCUCCCGGAAAACUCCACCCUUGUAUAUUAUUACUUGUUGCUUUGGUGGGCCGCGAGAUUGCCUAGCGAUUGAGCACCGGCUUCGGCUGGAGAGCGCCUGCCAGAGGACCAAACUCUGUCAUUUAUGUCGUCUGAUUACUAUUUAAUAGUUAAAACUUUCAACAACGGAUCUCUUGGUUCUGGCAUCGAUGAAGAACGCAGCGAAAUGCGAUAAGUAAUGUGAAUUGCAGAAUUCAGUGAAUCAUCGAAUCUUUGAACGCACAUUGCGCCCCUUGGUAUUCCGAGGGGCAUGCCUGUUCGAGCGUCAUAUGACCAAUCACGCCCUGUGCGUGGACUUGGGGUUCGCGAUUCAGCGUCCCUUAAAAUCAGUGGCGGUGCCGUUGGGCUCUAAGCGUAGUAAUUCUUCUCGCUACAGGGUCUCGCGGUUGCUUGCCAUAACCCCAACUUUCUUAGGUUGACCUCGCAUCAGGUAGGGAUACCCGCUGAACUUAAGCAUAUCAAUAAGC
RNAcentral lists this ribosomal RNA (530 nucleotides) under Ascomycota sp. BEA-2010. RNAcentral describes it as "eukaryotic LSU rRNA". The stretch from base 178 to 331 matches the Rfam family "5.8S ribosomal RNA". The record is from RNAcentral. Lineage: Eukaryota; Fungi; Ascomycota.